RNAcentral lists this ribosomal RNA (257 nucleotides) under uncultured bacterium. Its description in RNAcentral is "partial 16S ribosomal RNA". It matches the Rfam family "Bacterial small subunit ribosomal RNA", at positions 524 to 776 of the family's 1533-position model. The record is from RNAcentral.
UACGUAGGGGGGCAAGCGUUGUCCGGAUUUAUUGGGCGUAAAGAGCGUGUAGGCGGUUUUGGUAGGUCCGUUGUGAAAACUCGAGGCUCAACCUCGAGACGCCGAUGGAAACCAUCAGACUAGAGUCCGGAAGAGGAGAGUGGAAUUCCUGGUGUAGCGGUGAAAUGCGCAGAUAUCAGGAAGAACACCCGUGGCUAAGGCGGCUCUCUAGUACGGUACUGACGCUGAGACGCGAAAAGCGUGGGGGAGCGAACAGG